RNA transcript from Juglans regia (Persian walnut), 1362 nucleotides. RefSeq lists it as uncharacterized. The record is from RefSeq and is a predicted model, not a curated record. The transcript is spliced from 4 exons. NCBI's taxonomy places the organism in Eukaryota, Viridiplantae, Streptophyta, Magnoliopsida, Fagales, Juglandaceae.
UCAAUCUGAAGCUUCAGACCACAUUUCUUUUUUCCGAAGCCUUCAAAAGCUUUAUAUUGGUUUUGUUGUAACACAAACAAAUCCCACCACCCACCAAAACCUCCCUGCAGAUUGAUCAUUGACCAUGGAACAAAAAGAGAAGAACAAGAAGAUCAAGAAGCAAAAACACCAGCACCCAAAUGGCCAAUCCACCAAACCGAGCUUAGACUUAUCUUUCAAGCCGAGCUCCGACGUCAAGGGCCUCCGGUUCGGCGGCCAGUUCAUCGUAAAAUCCUUCACGAUCCGGCGGGCUCGGUCUCUCGAACUACUUCAACUCCUUUCUUUUCCACCAACGAUUAAUACCAAACCCAACAACAACAACAACAAAAAACUCCCAUUUCCUUCAACCACAGCCUUCUUGCCCACCAACUUCACCAUCUUGGCACACCAUGCCUGGCACACCCUCACGCUAGGCCUUGGAACGAAGAAAUCCAAAGUUCUUGUAUUCGUCUUCGAAACAGAGACCAUGAAGACGGCUACAGACCGCAUUUGGCCAUCGGAGAUACCGCUCGGAGAAGUGAACAAAAGGCUUAUCAGGGGGUUGACUGGGUGCGAGAUGGCAAGGUUCAAAUUUAGAAAGGGCUGCAUAACCUUUUACGUGUAUGCGGUUCGAAAAGUGGGCUGCUUCGGCUUCUCCUGCGCUGAGGAUCUGAGGACAAUAUUACAGUCCGUGCUUGAGCUCAAUGAUUUCUUCGAUCAUACUGCCAUGCUUGCCAUGCCCAACCAAAGAAGCAUCAGUUUUGCGCCUCCGGUGGCCAUGGCAGCUAACUAGCACUGAGGCGGAUGUUUCUGGACUAUAUAUUCCGAGUUUGAAAGGGUAGCUCGCCGAACACUUCUCAUUUGGGAGUCAGGGCCUUGGUGCAGUAGUACUGGAUAUAUUAUUCUGGCCGGCCAAGUUGCCUUAGACGUUGGAUGAUGCCGUGAUGCGUGGUGAAGACUGCAGGGGAUGGAUGCGAUGAUAAUGAUGAUGGGCAUGGGCGAGCAUGGUGACUUGGUGAGGGAAAAGGCUGUUUAGCAUGAUGGAAAGUGAAGGGCCACCCUCCUCCAGUACCCCGGGAAUUAGGGUCUACAAAAGCUGAUCUGGGGAAAAGGAAAACAAUUCUUUUUCGUCUUCCCACCUCGAUCAGUGGCUUUAAUCAUGCCACCAGAAAGCCCCAUGCCAACCACCUUUAUCCACAGAAUAAGCUUUAAGUAAGGGUACGGUUCCAUGUUCAUAUCAUGGUAUAUCUCCUUGAAGAGAAAACAUGCUAUAUAUACGUACGAAAUAUCACGACGGUGCAUCCUUACCAAAACUUAGGAAGAGCCAAGGGCAUACAGCAUGAA